UAUUCUGCCCCACGGGGAAGGAUGAGAAGCUUCGACUAAGGUUCGACUCGAGCGAAGCGAGAGAACGUUGCCGCAGGCAACGGCCCGAAGGGCGAGGAGCGAUAGCGACGAGUUAUCCUUCCCC
RNAcentral lists this small RNA (124 nucleotides) under Klebsiella pneumoniae. Its description in RNAcentral is "partial RtT sRNA". It matches the Rfam family "RtT RNA". Rfam says of the family: This family represents a bacterial cis-regulatory element known as RtT RNA. The exact function of RtT is unknown although it is thought that it may be involved in changing the cellular response in relation to amino acid starvation. The record is from RNAcentral. RNAcentral also lists the same sequence under 1 other name. Lineage: Bacteria; Pseudomonadati; Pseudomonadota; Gammaproteobacteria; Enterobacterales; Enterobacteriaceae.